GGGGCCGUAGCUCAAUUGGGAGAGCGCUGCCUUUGCAAGGCAGAGGUUGCCGGUUCGAUCCCGGUCGGCUCCA
Molecule: transfer RNA, 73 nt
Filed under: Phycisphaerae bacterium
Lineage: Bacteria; Pseudomonadati; Planctomycetota; Phycisphaerae
Also listed under: 1 other name
Description: tRNA-Ala
Rfam family: tRNA
About the family: Transfer RNA (tRNA) molecules are approximately 80 nucleotides in length. Their secondary structure includes four short double-helical elements and three loops (D, anti-codon, and T loops).
Source: RNAcentral